CUUCAACUAAGCCAGGGUUUACACCACCUGCAUUCUGACACUGGGGCUCAUUCAGUGACUCCAGCAGUUUUUUGCAUCUGUAGGCCAAGACUGGGACAGCUGUAAAACCACAACCAACUUUCUUUUUCAGAUUCCGCAUUCAGGAUUGUGUGCCCCUACGCAAGAUUUUAUUUAGGUCAGGCUGGUUUCACCGGACAGAGGUCAUAGCUACUUGGAGAAGAAGUUAAUCAAAAGAGAUGCCGUUUAGACUCUGAACCUCAAGAAUAAUCUAAGAGGGAGGACCUGCAUCUCCAUGGCACCUCACUCUGAUUUGCGAGGAUUCCACCAGAGAAAUUGUUCUCAAGAGUGUGAAUUAUGUGGCAGCUUCUAUUUUAUGGUACCUCGCUAUCCACUUUGUAAGAGCACUGUCCUAUGAGCAAAAACUGCAGACAUCUUUGAGCGAUAGAAGAGACAACUGAGCUGGGGGCCAGUUCAGUGU
This 478-nucleotide long non-coding RNA is filed under the name Macaca fascicularis (crab-eating macaque). RNAcentral's name for it is "lncRNA (ENSMFAG00000064105.1)". Lineage: Eukaryota; Metazoa; Chordata; Mammalia; Primates; Cercopithecidae. The record is from RNAcentral.